UACGGAGGGGGCUAGCGUUGUUCGGAAUUACUGGGCGUAAAGCGUACGUAGGCGGCUUUGUAAGUUAGAGGUGAAAGCCCGGGGCUCAACUCCGGAAUUGCCUUUAAGACUGCAUCGCUAGAAUCAUGGAGAGGUGAGUGGAAUUCCGAGUGUAGAGGUGAAAUUCGUAGAUAUUCGGAAGAACACCAGUGGCGAAGGCGACUCACUGGACAUGUAUUGACGCUGAGGUACGAAAGCGUGGGGAGCAAACAGG
This 253-nucleotide ribosomal RNA is filed under the name uncultured bacterium. RNAcentral's name for it is "partial 16S ribosomal RNA". It matches the Rfam family "Bacterial small subunit ribosomal RNA", at positions 524 to 776 of the family's 1533-position model. The record is from RNAcentral.